This is a long non-coding RNA of Wyeomyia smithii (pitcher-plant mosquito), 1684 nucleotides long. RefSeq lists it as uncharacterized. The record is from RefSeq and is a predicted model, not a curated record. The transcript is spliced from 3 exons. Lineage: Eukaryota; Metazoa; Arthropoda; Insecta; Diptera; Culicidae.
CGGGGUAUUACCCGUGAUUGAUCAAACUAGUUAUAUAGAGAACUCUACUCUGGAUGAUUGAAAAAUAAUUAAUUUUCUUGAUUUGUUUUCGGAGGUUCAGAGUAUGGUGAAGUAUUCGGGUAUUUUGGCUAUUGUUAAAAAUAUAUUUGAAGAUGUAUUUGCAUGUCGUGGCUGCAAAUACAGUUAGUAUUACGCUGUUGGCAGCGUUUUUUCGAAAUCAUGUCGUUUUUCAACUAAACUGGUGGGACAGUGGUAAAUCGCGAUUUCGCGGAAGCCGCGAAAUCCAGCAUCGGCCGCUAAAUUGUCAAAAAACCGCGAAAUGCCGCGAAAACCAACAACACGGAUAAAUCUAAAGAUCAAUAGGCACCUCGAUGGCAACGGAACACCUUUUCCUACGCAACCAAUAAGAUGCCCAUAAUUCAAAAAUUGGCUAAUAUGCCAUUUUUACCAAAAUCGAGAAAACAGUUUCUCGUGAUGGUACACACCCUAAACAAGGUCCCUACGGAAGCCGAUUGUCAAAAAAUGCAUUUGGGAAGGCAGCAAACGUGAAACAAUUUUGGCUAAUAUCCAAUAUCCAAUAUGAACCUGUGGCAUGUUCACGAACCAGUGUAUUAUUACUGAACUGUGUUUCUUCUAACUUUCGAACGUGUGUUGUAGCUUGGUGGUUACUGGCGACAGGUGAGCGAUCGUAAGGCCCUUGCAUCAAAUUUGACUUUUUCACGAAGAAUAUUUGAUUCUACAUAAAUUUAUUUGUUGUACUGCGAAACCCAACGAUCAAAACGUGUGACUGUUUCCUACUGUCAUAAAUCUUUACAUUUAAUAAAAUGAUAUUUAGCUCUUUGAUUAGGAGUAAUAUUAAUAAAAAGAAGAUUCAGAUUUCAUUUUGGAUUUGAUGAGAAAAAAUAGGAAGGUGGAUUGUGAGAUUACCAUGAAUAAUAUUUUCGUUAUAUUAAUAUAUUGCUGCACGUAACAAUUGUCUCGUCGUCCUUUUCAUCCUCACUUGUGCUUCCGUGUUGUUUUAUUAAAUUUAAAACCAUUUUCAUCUCCAACGAGUACGAUAUAAUUCACAUCGUAUGGAUAUUAGCCAAAUUGCACACCGUUUUGUCAACUGACCUUUCGUUUAUAAUUGAAAAAACGGCUACUGUGUUAAAAAUACGUGGCGGAUGGAAUUUUUCUAUAGAUUUCUCUGUUUCAACUCAACGGCAAGGUUCCAGCAUAUAUGAAGGGUGAUAUACUCAAUAAAAAAGUUGUCAUGAACAGUCAAAAUAUGUUGUACCAACAAAAAACUUUCAAAUGCGUUUUUCUCGAUUUGAUACCUAUGGCAUAUUAGCCAAUUUUUGAAUUAUGGGCAGCACUGCUCUCUUACAACGAGAUUUUUCCAGCCUGGAUUGAAUUGUUUUCGGAUGAUCCUAUUUGAGCAAAGAUUCUGGCGACUUGGGACCUGCAUGAUAGAAUUCCCGAAUGUGCAAAAUCGAAGUUGCAUGAUAUACCUACUUAGUUCAAGUUACAUGCAUUUUUGCAUUUUAAUAAUUUUGCCAAAUCGGUUCGGUAGAUACUGAGAAAAACUUAUCACCAGUUCGGUACUAAUUUAGAGAGAACAUCCUCGUUCGCAGCUGCAAACAGCGUAAUACUCACUAUAUUUGCAUUCACGAUAUGUAAAAUACAUCUUUAAAUAUACCUCAAU